UGGGCUUGACAUAGGCAGGAUGGGCGCAGAGAUGUGUCGUCCCUUUGUGGUCUGUUUACAGGUGGUGCAUGGUU
RNAcentral lists this ribosomal RNA (74 nucleotides) under uncultured Actinomycetes bacterium. RNAcentral describes it as "uncultured actinobacterium partial 16S ribosomal RNA". The record is from RNAcentral. Lineage: Bacteria; Bacillati; Actinomycetota; Actinomycetes.